This is a long non-coding RNA of Penaeus monodon (black tiger shrimp), 537 nucleotides long. RefSeq lists it as uncharacterized. The transcript is spliced from 3 exons. The record is from RefSeq and is a predicted model, not a curated record. NCBI's taxonomy places the organism in Eukaryota, Metazoa, Arthropoda, Malacostraca, Decapoda, Penaeidae.
GUAACCGUAAACUUGGCCUUACCUAUAGCGCUUGCGUCAUUGGGAGUAGUCUUGAUUGUGAUCAACAAACAGUGUGUACUUGAAAUAGAUUGUUGUUAGUAUAUUGAAUUUAUGUGAAACAUUGACUGCUAUAAGUUUGACAAACACUAAAAUAAAACUUCAUUCUAUAAUAUAUCAGAAAAAAUAUGGCAUAUGUAAUCAGAGCAGUGAAAAGUGCUACAGAGAAAUACCCAAUUCUACGUGGAAUGGUUACAUAUUCAGUUCUGUGGCCAGCCUCCAAUUUUGUACAACAGUCAAUGGAUAAAACACGAGAAAAGUAUGACCCAGUAGAGUCAUUGCGUUAUCUAUUCCUUGGAAGUUUUGUAACGGCACCGACAGUUUAUGUCUGGGUAAAAUUAGCAAGUAAAAUUAUAAAGGGAACUUCUUUAAAGCAUGCUCUAAUGAAGAUAUGUUGUAGGUGAUCUACAAACCACCUGUUUUAACAGCCACCUGUUUGAAUAACCUCCCCUACUAAGCAAGAUAUGUUAGAAUAAAUUU